This 462-nucleotide ribosomal RNA is filed under the name uncultured bacterium. RNAcentral describes it as "bacterial SSU rRNA". It matches the Rfam family "Bacterial small subunit ribosomal RNA", at positions 30 to 520 of the family's 1533-position model. The record is from RNAcentral.
CCUGAACGCUGUCGGCGUGACUAAGACAUGCAAGUCGUACGGUGUAGCAAUACACAGUGGCGCACGGGUGAGUAAUGUAUCGCUAAUGUACCCCGAACUCUGGGAUAGCCAGCCGAAAGGUUGGGUAAUACCAGAUGAGACCACGACCUGGCAUCAGGUUGUGCUCAAAGGUUCGCCGGUUUGGGAUCAGGCGAUAUGGUAUCAGGUAGUUGGUAGGGUAACGGCCUACCAAGCCUUCGACGCCUAGCUGGACUGAGAGGUCGGACGGCCACAUCGGGACUGAGACACUGCCCGGACUCCUACGGGGGGCUGCAGUAAUGAAUCUUCCGCAAUGCACGAAAGUGUGACGGAGCGACGCCGAGUGAAGGAUGAAGUUCUUCGGAAUGUAAACUUCUAAAAUCUGUUAGAAAGUUCUGAUCAGCAGACUAUAAGUGGCGACUAACUCUGUGCCAGCAGCCGCGG